CAUCUAGUUCCGGUGAUACAAGGUUCCGGGGCGGUGCCAUUUAGCCGGGAGUUCUCGGGCUGGAGGCUCACAAUGUGGAUUGGAAAGAGGACUGAUUGGUUGUCUUUACGUGCUAUCUGCUCCAGUAAAAAACAAUAAUAAUAAUAAAAAUCAGUGAAUAUACAUUCUCGGCCGACUCCUCUGCCAGCUCGCCCUUGUCCUGGUCCGCCGCCCCACUCUGACCCCCAACCCGACCCGGUCCACUUUCAUUUCCUCCCCACGGCUGUUUCCGUAUCUGCUGCCGUAUUUCAUGUUGGUUUAUGGUGUUGGACUAACGUCCGGAACGUGCCUACUAAACGCACUAGAAGGGAGGAAGCGAGGACGGUCGCGUGAGGGGUCGAAAUCUCGCUCUGAUUAACCCCCGAGUGGCUUCCAAUUGCAAACCGAAUAGAAUCUCGCUUUCUUCCCUUGGGUCGCAGGUGUGAAGGGUUCCAGCCCCCAACCCUCCCUCCCACCUAGCUCCGCCCCGCCCGCUCAAGGCGCCCGACCGCGCGGUGGAGACCGAGAAAACAGCAGCUUUGCGCUCCGCGGGCUGCUCCUGCCUUCCUCCCGGGGCCAGCUUCUCCCUGAGCUUGGCUGAUGUGAGUGCAUUGAAGAGCUUUGAACUACUGGACAUGGAACAGAUGAGAAGGAGAGAUCUUUCCAUCACCUCCCUCCUAGCCUGUCAUCCCAAGGGCCUCCAACAAAUCACCGUGUGUUCUGGAAAUGCAAAACCACUGGAAUAAUCACCAUAUCAAGAUGAAAUGAGAAAGACCAGAUGCUCACUGGAGGGGAGUGAUAUGCUGACCAAAGACAUCCCCAAACAUGAAGCUGUCCUGCUGGGAUUGUCCUGCCAGUGGUCGUUUUCCUUCCUGCCAUCUCAAAUACUCCCAACCCCAAAGCAAAGAGCCCCUCUGCACAAAGGUUGAGAUUGCAUCCCAGCUGUGGCCAUAACAGGGACAUCGAUCCUCAUCUGUUCCCCACCACUGAAUUCUCCACUGCAGGUUAGAAACAAGCAAUGCAGCCUCCGCUACCAGCGACACCGGCGGGACCUGGCUUUUAGAAGUAAGAUUGAAUGGCUAUUAGAAGAGGUGACGGCUAUAACCUAACACUGUACAGAGAGACCAAGGUAAUGAAGUAACACAGGUUUGUAGAAUGUGGAGACCUGGAAGGCUCUUUAGACAUCAUUCUGGCCAACCCCUUUGCUUUACAGGUGAAGAAAACCAGGACCAAAGAGGUUAAUUGACUCAUCCAAGGUCAUAGUGUGAAUUAUUGUCCUUUGGUUGUUCAGGUCACCCUUAAACAAACAUUUUUUUCCCAAGGUUUCUAAGAGUUCAGAGUUCGUAGUCCAUCAGCUUUAAUAGUUUAAAUGCUUCCCUUUAGAACUCAUUCAUCGGCGGUGAAUCAUGGGAACCUAUCAUGAACAUGCCCCACAUGUUAUAGGUGAUUAAAAAAGGGGAAAGAGGUUUCUGCACCUAAUGUCUUACAAUUGAAUUGGAGACUUAAGAAAUAUAAAUAGCAAGAGGAAAAAUGAAAUUCUUAUGUAUGUAAAAAACAAGAGAAAUACUUGAUGUAUGCGUGUAAAUGCUGUGCAUAAAGAGAACUCUAUGGCGUAGGUGUCCUAUGCUUUAUCUUAAAGAAACUAAAGCCCAUGUGUCUGUAUUAAUAUUUAGAGAGCCAUUAAUUUACUAUUGGGAUUAUAAAGUAAAAGUGAUCAACAACAAUUUAUAUUUUGUGUUCCAUAAUGUCCACGUAUAAAGUUUCCUGGGCACUUCAGCAGCCACCAACAUCACUGAAAAUAUGUUUAUGGCCCACGAAAAAAUUCCAUUUGAACCUUGGCGCUUUGAAACAUAGCUUCCUCUCUUCAUCCUUAUUGCCUCAUUUCUAGUAUAAAGUGGUCAGAUUAGAUGAUCUUUAAGGUUCUUACACAUUUCCACUUUCCUUGAUUAGUGAGUGACUAAAAACAAAAGGCAGAAUAGUCCAGAUGUUCUAGUAGGUUUACAUUUGCAUCUGAGAAAAGUCUUGAAGUACCUCAAUAGGUUUAAAUUAUUUUUUGAGUGGUGAAAUAUCACUGAAAAUUUUCUAUGAAAUUCUCCCAGCAAAAUAACUGGUUUUAGAGCUCUGCCCUGUUGAUCUUGUAGUUCCAGGACAGAUUUGGGAUAAUGAUCGUGAUUUCCACUGGGUAGAACAAUAUUUUAGGAUCAGAACAAUCAAACUCAAAUUAUACAGGUACAACAGUUUAACAAACGUGACACAUAUUUUAUAAUUCAUAUGAAACUGAUGAGUCCCUUUGGUCUACCCAUCAAAACAAUUGUCAGAGGUAAAUAGGCACUCAUUUUCCAUGUGAAUUUUUCCAUGUUGCUGCUGGUAAACCGUUUCUAAGGAUAUAAUAGCAAUAGCUGCCCCUGAAAGCCUCGAGCCCCAAAUGAUCAUUUAAAUGGUUCUUGUGAAUGGCACAACUCUUGUUUAUGGGUGCCAGGUCCCAGUGUUUCAGAUACAUAGAAACAGCCUUUGCCAAUGCAGCUUUAGCCAGUAAGAAUAGCUAAUAUUGAUACUUACUGAGUGCUAACUAUGACUAUACUGAAAGUUUUGCAUAUAUUAUCUUAUUUAAUACUCCCAGUAAUCUGAAGACGCAGGUACUGUUAUUAUCCCCAUUACACAGAUAAAGAAACUGAAUAUUAGAAGGUUAAAUAGUUUGCCUAAAAUACAUCUAGAAAACAGUAAAGCUGAGAUCUGAAGCCAGAUGUACUGACCUCACGGACAAUACACUAAUCACUAUACAGUAUUACCACGUGGCUUGCAAUAGUCUAGAAGACAAAUGAUUUUUAAGUUGCUCUGAUAAAUACCCUUUAUGUAGAAAAUGAUGGGUGUGCAGACUGAGUAGUGUGUAUGAUGGUGGUGGAGGUUAGAGGUGCGGGGACCAUUAAUUUUUAUUGACUUUAGUUAAUUGCAGUUAAUUCGAAUCUUUCAACGAUUUUGGCCAACUGCACGUUGUGCCUGUCUGGGUCUGCAGUAUCACUGACAGCAGAGAUGUGGGUACCAGGCUAAGCAGGCAUCCUUCCUCCAGAACCUUCACUGGCAGACAUGAGCAUGCAUCAUCCAUCCCGGGUCUGAACAGCAAGUUCAGAAGCCAUCUCAUUAUUUAAAUUUCUGAUCUGCAGUGUUGUAUGAAAUACCGUGAAGAACCCCGUGCUUUAGGAUCUGUGGAAUAGCCACACGUUUUCCAGCCUAAAUCUAAAGCAAUGGUGCUGAUAAUUUAUAUGAACGCAUCUCCCCUUUCUCCAUGUGGUUAAAGAUAAUGAAAUAGAGAACCGCGCUCUCUGAGAAUGUGACAGGCCAAUUUACGAUUCUAAUUCUCCGUUUGGUCUUCUAAAAUAUACUAUUUUAGCAGCUUUCUGCCUUUAACAGGUAUUUCUUGAAAGCAAUUCCUACUUGCAUGACUGUUCCGUAAAUGUUUGGCUUGAAAGAAAAGGAAAUGUGUCCUUCAAACAAGUGUGUUUCUUUCAGGGCUACUUCUGUACGUGAAUUUCUCCGUGGUGACUACCCAGUGUUUUCUGUUAUCAUCUUCUCAGCGUUCAAUUCAUUACCCCUGUUCAUUAUUCAAUUUGUUGGGCUUUGAGCACCUGAAUAAUUGAAAGCUAUGCAAGUAUUAUAAAUUAUAGUGUCCACGUUCAUAAUCCCCAUUUUAGAGUUUAUAGCUUCACUGUAAAAAUUCACUGUGUUGGAACCUUACAUACAAGGUCUUAUACUGAAAACAAAUUAAUUUAUAAAUACAUUUUUUUCUUCCCUAAACUCAAUAUUUAACAAAUCUUACAUUUUUCCAGUUACGAUUUUUAGGGCUUUGACUGCCACAGCAAGCCCAAUGAAAAAGAAUGUUUUACAUGUUCACUCAUUCAUUUUUGUAACAAAUAUUUACGGAGUGACUAUACCUUUGACAGUGUGAGGCUGGGGCUAGGUCAGCCUAUUCUCUUUGAGAAGAAUGAGAGAGAAAGCAGGCUUUGCAGCCCUUUAAGUUAUGGCCUCCACCUCCUGAUGGCACUCAAAAAUCAAAACAAACCAAAAAAACCUAAACCAAAUCCUCAGCAGCCCUUCCCCUGUAGUCUCUGCCCCUGGGUCCUUCCUGGUCCACCUAGGGCACUGAGGGCUGGAAGAUUCUGUAGCCUCCCUGAGGCAGGUAGCCCAGUUCUUUGCUCUGCAAAUAAAUAUGGGAAUAAAGUUUUUCAAUGAGAGUAAGAAGGAAAGAAGAGAAGAUGGGUGAAGUUUAAGAGACUGAUGACCCAGCUAGUAAGUGCCUGAGCUGGAAGGCAGGCUGCAGACUCAAGUCUUGUGGAUGCAAAUCUAGUGUGGUGGGUUUUGUCUGUUUGUUUUUUGCGGUACGCGGGCCUCUCACUGUUGUGGCCUCUCCCGCCGCGGAGCGCAGGCCCCGGACGCGCAGGCU
Molecule: long non-coding RNA, 4456 nt
Organism: Aethalodelphis obliquidens (Pacific white-sided dolphin)
Lineage: Eukaryota; Metazoa; Chordata; Mammalia; Artiodactyla; Delphinidae
Exons: 4
Source: RefSeq, a predicted model, not a curated record